GGACUGGUGGGCGGCGAAGGGGGAAAGCCCCGGAUGUUCGUUGGGGAUUCAACAUGGCGGCGGCAGUGGCCGUAGCGGCGGCGGCGCCAGAGAGCUGAGGGCAGCGGGAGGGCGCCGAGUUCCGGGCCGAGCGGCCAGGCCGCGAACGACUGCGGUGCCGAGCCGGCCCCACGUGUCCCGUCCACCCUCUUCCUGCUGGCCUCUCGCAUCCUCCGCCUCCGAGCCUCCCUGUUCCUGCCCUGCUCACAGCCUUCCUGCGGCUCCAUCUCACGCAGGUAAGAGCCGAGUCCUCCCUGUGCCCCCCGCCCCGCCCCGGCCACUCGGCCUCCGCUCUGUUCUUUGGCCCUCAAGCACUCUGCGGCCCCAAGCCUUUGUGCUGGCUGUUCUCGCGGCCAGGGUCCUCCUCCCCCAGGCACCCACUCCUCUCCCCACCCUGCUCUAGUGUGACCUCCUCUUCGAGGCCCUCCCUGACCGCUUCACUGAAGAUCCCCACGUCCCCUCAGCCUCCACACCCAGCUGAUCCCUGCUCUUUUUCUUCUCAGCACUCACCAUCUGACUCACUAGCUGGCUGUCUGGUGUAUCUGCUGUGAACUGUCUCUCCUUUCCCCUCGAAUGUGAGCUUGGCAAGGGCAGGGACAUCCCUGGCUCUCCUGGCCUCUGCUGUGGGCCCUGCCCCGGGCUUGGCAGAGCUCAGCUCUCACCCGAC
Molecule: long non-coding RNA, 706 nt
Filed under: Bos mutus (wild yak)
Lineage: Eukaryota; Metazoa; Chordata; Mammalia; Artiodactyla; Bovidae
Description: lncRNA (ENSBMUG00000014827.1)
Source: RNAcentral